RNAcentral lists this transfer RNA (185 nucleotides) under Capra hircus (goat). Its description in RNAcentral is "lncRNA (ENSCHIG00000006864.1)". The record is from RNAcentral. Lineage: Eukaryota; Metazoa; Chordata; Mammalia; Artiodactyla; Bovidae.
CAAGGGUGCUGAAGUGGGUUGCCAUUUCUUUUUACAGGGGAUCUUCCCAACCCAGGGAUCAAACCCGGGUCUCCUGCAUUGCUGGCAGAAGCUUUACCAUCUGAGCCACCAGGGAAGCCAUUCAUGCAUUAAGGCCAAGGUGGAGGCCUGUGACUUCAUGCUUCACACUCACGCUCAGGAGCCAC